AGCGAACGCUGGCGGCAGGCUUAACACAUGCAAGUCGAGCGGGCACUUCGGUGUCAGCGGCAGACGGGUGAGUAACACGUGGGAACGUACCCUUUGGUUCGGAAUAACGCUGGGAAACUAGCGCUAAUACCGGAUACGCCCUUUUGGGGAAAGGCUUGCUGCCGAAGGAUCGGCCCGCGUCUGAUUAGCUAGUUGGUGGGGUAAUGGCCUACCAAGGCGACGAUCAGUAGCUGGUCUGAGAGGAUGAUCAGCCACACUGGGACUGAGACACGGCCCAGACUCCUACGGGAGGCAGCAGUGGGGAAUAUUGGACAAUGGGCGCAAGCCUGAUCCAGCCAUGCCGCGUGAGUGAUGAAGGCCUUAGGAUUGUAAAGCUCUUUUGUCCGGGACGAUAAUGACGGUACCGGAAGAAUAAGCCCCGGCUAACUUCGUG
Molecule: ribosomal RNA, 433 nt
Filed under: uncultured bacterium
Lineage: Bacteria
Description: partial 16S ribosomal RNA
Rfam family: Bacterial small subunit ribosomal RNA
Source: RNAcentral